RNAcentral lists this ribosomal RNA (429 nucleotides) under Fusobacteriota bacterium. Its description in RNAcentral is "Fusobacteria bacterium partial 16S ribosomal RNA". It matches the Rfam family "Bacterial small subunit ribosomal RNA", at positions 355 to 776 of the family's 1533-position model. Lineage: Bacteria; Fusobacteriati; Fusobacteriota. The record is from RNAcentral.
UGGGGAAUCUUCCGCAAUGGACGAAAGUCUGACGGAGCAACGCCGCGUGAGUGAAGACGGCCUUCGGGUUGUAAAGCUCUGUGAUCCGGGACGAAAGAGCCUGAGGUGAAUAGCCUAAGGAAGUGACGGUACCGGAAAAGCAAGCCACGGCUAACUACGUGCCAGCAGCCGCGGUAAUACGUAGGUGGCAAGCGUUGUCCGGAAUUAUUGGGCGUAAAGCGCGCGCAGGCGGCUUCCUAAGUCCAUCUUAAAAGUGCGGGGCUUAACCCCGUGAUGGGAUGGAAACUGGGAAGCUUGAGUAUCGGAGAGGAAAGUGGAAUUCCUAGUGUAGCGGUGAAAUGCGUAGAGAUUAGGAAGAACACCGGUGGCGAAGGCGACUUUCUGGACGAAAACUGACGCUGAGGCGCGAAAGCGUGGGGAGCAAACAGG